RNAcentral lists this ribosomal RNA (581 nucleotides) under uncultured bacterium. Its description in RNAcentral is "bacterial SSU rRNA". It matches the Rfam family "Bacterial small subunit ribosomal RNA", at positions 77 to 649 of the family's 1533-position model. The record is from RNAcentral.
AGCUUGCUUCAUCCGCCGGCGACCGGCGCACGGGUGAGUAACACGUAUGCAACCUGCCCCUGGCUGGGGGAUAAGCCGGAGAAAUCCGGUCUAAUACCGCGUAACAUCCUUGCGGGACAUCCCGUUAGGAUCAAAGGAAGCGAUUCCGGCUACGGAUGGUCAUGCGUCGCAUUAGCUGGUUGGCGGGGUAACGGCCCACCAAGGCGACGAUGCGUAGGGGUUCUGAGAGGAAGGUCCCCCACACUGGUACUGAGACACGGACCAGACUCCUACGGGAGGCAGCAGUGAGGAAUAUUGGUCAAUGGCCGCAGGGCUGAACCAGCCAAGUCGCGUGAGGGAUGACGGUCCUAUGGAUUGUAAACCUCUUUUGUCAGGGAGCAAAGGGCGCCACGUGUGGCGCUUUGCGAGUACCUGAAGAAAAAGCAUCGGCUAACUCCGUGCCAGCAGCCGCGGUAAUACGGAGGAUGCGAGCGUUAUCCGGAUUUAUUGGGUUUAAAGGGUGCGCAGGCGGAAUGUCAAGUCAGCGGUAAAAUUUCGGGGCUCAACCCCGUCGUGCCGUUGAAACUGGCGUUCUUGAGUGA